Molecule: long non-coding RNA, 616 nt
Organism: Symsagittifera roscoffensis
Lineage: Eukaryota; Metazoa; Xenacoelomorpha; Acoela; Convolutidae
Exons: 3
Source: RefSeq, a predicted model, not a curated record
UUUGUUUAAUUUAUUGAAUUAACUCUGAUUUAUUUAAUAUCUAGCUUUUAAAAAAGUUCUAUAGUGUAGUUAAUAGCGCUAUUGAAAUUGUCAAAAUUGUUGCGAUAUGGAAUCAAGCGAAAAAAUUACCAGGAAACUCUUAAGUUAUCUUUCGGAUGCCAGUGUUCAAAGUUUAACCAAACUGCGGCGACACAUUGCAAAUCAACCGGAUUCAGUUAUAAGUUCAUUCGCUGCAAAUGGCGGAUGCGAGAAGAUCUUUUCAGUCCUUUCAAAACAUUCAACUUCAUCAGAAAACGUGAUUAAGAUAGAAGACGAUGCUGUUCAGUCUGCAGUCGAGUGUCUGAGGAUUCUCAAAGCCAUGAUGCGAUGUGACUCUGGCUUAGACUACAUUUCAAAUUCACAAAACAGCCAAGAUCUUUUUUCCCUGAUGCUGGGCUCGUGGCAGGAUCCUUCUGUACUUAGACAUCUGUAUGGGUUGCUGUCUGUUAUUGCAGUGCACUCUGUUUCCGGUUACAGCUGCACUCUGCAAGCAUUGCAGCUCCACCAGGAGAACGACAACCUGAAGAGCAAGUUCGAGAAUGUUGUUGGGAGAGAUCUAGGCAACCUGUCGAAGAGU